CAGUCGCCGCGGUAAAACGAACCGUGCGAACGUUAUUCGGAAUCACUGGGCUUAAAGCGCGUGUAGGCGGGAGGGCACGUCCGUCGCUGAAAUCCCCCGGCUCAACCGGGGAACGGGCGCGGAUACGACUCUCCUUGAGGAACGUAGGGGGACCUGGAACUUCCGGUGGAGCGGUGAAAUGCGUUGAGAUCGGAAGGAACGCCCGUGGCGAAAGCGAGGUCCAGGACGUUGACUGACGCUGAGACGCGAAAGCCAGGGGAGCGAACGGGAUUAGAGACCCGCGUAGUCCCUGUCUCUUAUA
RNAcentral lists this ribosomal RNA (301 nucleotides) under uncultured bacterium. Its description in RNAcentral is "partial 16S ribosomal RNA". It matches the Rfam family "Bacterial small subunit ribosomal RNA", at positions 509 to 807 of the family's 1533-position model. The record is from RNAcentral.